This 2622-nucleotide long non-coding RNA is filed under the name Malus domestica (apple). RNAcentral describes it as "long non-coding RNA (MDOM_LNC002318)". Lineage: Eukaryota; Viridiplantae; Streptophyta; Magnoliopsida; Rosales; Rosaceae. The record is from RNAcentral.
UUGCCUCAAAUAUUCUCUCUCUCUUUAUACUUUAAAACCUCAUUUGUGUUUGAUUUAAAGCAUGUCCUAGAGUAUUUUCAGCCAUCACCUUCUUUUUUUCAGGUCUUGUCUAGCUAAUCUUUAAGCAGUACUGUUGUCUUGAUUACUGUUAGUCAUAUGGUUUCUCCAUGAUUCCUUUUUAUUCGACUUGCAUGCUACUCUCUUGUGCUUCGAUUAUUCGAAGGUGGUUCAUGGAACUACGAAUGAUAAUAUGGUAUCAAAGAUGGAAGUGACGCGGUUGUAGAAGAGGUGUUUAAGGGCCCCUGUUUAGCACAACUUUUGGUCUCGGAGUCAGAUUUUGAAAAUUUCUCUCACAACCUUUGGUAUUCCAGAAUUCUUUUCCAAGGGUGACUGUUCGUAAUCCCUAAUCCAUAAGUUCCUCUGUGUCAGGAAGAUUGUGAGUAAUAGAGCAAAUUGGGGGAGAAGUUUUUGGAACUGGUCUCUUGUUCUUCACAAAUUUGAGAGAAGGAAGUAAGAAAAUCGUAUGUAAGUUUUUCCUUUUCUUCCUUAUUCCUUCUUGCAGAUGAAUUUGAUAGCAAAUCAAAAGUACACAAAUAUUGUUCAGUGCAAAGAUUCAUGGGUGGAACAAAAAAGGUAACAAUUUGCUAAGCAUAUGUUAUUGUCUUUCAGAAAGUUUCUGCAACCUCCAUUUAAUUCAAGAAAUGUAUUCUUCCAGAUUAGAUAGUUAGAACUAGAUAAGAUCUAUGGGAACAUAUUUUCUGCGACCUGCUUUGUGCUUAUUUAUAUUGCAUUCUUUGGUUAAAAUACAUUUGGACCAUAUCAUUAACUUAGCUGCAAUCUUUUAAUUAGAAAAAUCUCAUACUUCUUUGAUAUAAGGAAGAGAGAAUUCUUCGGAGAAGAUCGUUUGUUGAAGCAAUCGAAACACAGGCCUUACCGAAGAAACCAAGACCGGCUUUCUACAAACACCUUUCACCCCUUUAAGACAUAACAUUAUUAGGAUUCAUGCUAAGUAAAGCAUGGACAACCUUCCAUUGUCAUCCUCUCUACGCAAAGUCCAACCCGUUGCAUUAGGCAAGUAUGUAGAUUAGCCCAAUAUUGCAAACUUUGAUCUGAAUUCGCUUAUAUGUAUUUUCCAACUACAUGUGCCAUUGGUCAAGAGAGCUUCUUAUAGAUAAACCGUACAGCAAUAAAUCAGAUAUAUGAUCUCUAGGUUACGAAAUUUCCAUUAGCGUGGUUUUAGUUAAUUUAGUUGAGCAUGGCAAAUUUGUAAACCUAAUCGACCUUCCUACGAAUGAAAAUCUGGUUUUAUAACAGCUCCUUGCAGUUAGCUUCACAUCUAUUUGUUUGUAUAAAAGCAUAAACAUAAAGUGACACUUCCAUGUCAUAGAAAAGUUGCAGAAGAAGAAGAUGAUCUCAGUUUUCUCUGGUGGAAUCUCAUCAAUUAAUUCACAUGAUCAGCUGUUGAUCACCUCCUACAUUUCUCCAUUCCCAAUUUCUUUUCAUGAUAUUUUGAAUUGGCAAUAAAAUAAAACACGAAACUAUCCUUUUCUUUACAUGAUUAAAUCACUAAGUUGUUGAUAUAGUAUUGAUAAGCCGUGAAUAACAUUGGUAGAUAGCAAGUCAAUAGCAGAACAUAUCAUUGUCUUUAUUGAUAUACAUCCACAUUAUCUAUCGAUACAAAUUUCGUCCUUUUGACAAGAAAACAAAAGUAUGAUAAAUAAUAUUUCAUGCGUGUGUAUAAUAUCGUUAAACUAUCAAUGACAUUAGUAGAUAGCAAGUCAAUAGUAAAAAGUAUCAUUGUAUUAUCGAUAUACAUAUUACCCCAUUAUCUAUCUACACGAAUUCAUCCGUUUAUAUAUAGUUGGACCAUGAUUUUCUAGGCCCAUGACACGUGGCACUUUAGGUGGCAAGAAGGACCAGAAUGCCCAUAACCUAUGAAGUGUAGUCAAACAGUCUUAGUCAAACAUGCUAGGCUUAAGCCCAUUGAAAAUAUUACUUGUGUCCCAAGUAAGGAAAUCCUAAUUCAAGGCAAUUUAAUUAGGAUAUCUUGGGAUUAAGCAACGUAAUCAAAAUCCUAGCAAAAUUGGAUAUAUUAUCCUACAUUCCCUCCUAAAUAGUCUCUCGAUUAAAUGGAAUUACUCUUCCUACAGGGACUGUGAAGAUCUCUAUAAAUACCCUAACUUGGGCAUUGAUCGAGCAUGUCGAUCGACGAAUUAAUCAAUCACAACUGAAGAUACAUCUCUCUUAUAUUCUCUCUAUGCUUAACAUAGGCUCAUUUUGCAUCCACGCGGUCUACGCGCAAACACGUCCAUGGAGAACUCAUCUCUUUAAUGGCCCACCAUAGCCUAUUCACCAAGGAUGGUUCAUGAUGUAGCACACAUCAGACCAUUCUUUCUUAGAACUACACUACCGAUUUGAUUCUUCUUCCCGGAGAUAUGUAGGCAUUCUGAUCUGGAUUCAACCACACCCCCCAAUUGUGUGACCAUGAUCUCUGGGCCUAUGACACGUGGCACUUCGAGUGGCAAGAAUGGCUGAAAAGCUUAUAGCCCAUGGAGCGCAGUCUGAGAGCCUUAGUCCGACAAGCUAAGCUUAAGGCCUAUUGAAGAUCAUGUGCAAUUAACC